CCUACGGGUGGCAGCAGUGGGGAAUAUUGCACAAUGGGGGAAACCCUGAUGCAGCGACGCCGCGUGAGUGAGGAAGUAUUUCGGUAUGUAAAGCUCUAUCAGCAGGGAAGAAAAUGACGGUACCUGACUAAGAAGCCCCGGCUAACUACGUGCCAGCAGCCGCGGUAAUACGUAGGGGGCAAGCGGUAUCCGGAUUUACUGGGGGUUAAGGGAGCGUAGACGGCUAAUCAAGUCAGAAGUGAAAACCCAGGGCUCAACCUUUGGACUGCUUUUGAAACUGAGUAGCUAUAGUGCAGGAGAGGUAAGCGGAAAUCCGAGUGUCGCGGGGAAAUGCGUAGAUAUUAGGAGGAAAACC
This 355-nucleotide ribosomal RNA is filed under the name uncultured bacterium. Its description in RNAcentral is "partial 16S ribosomal RNA". It matches the Rfam family "Bacterial small subunit ribosomal RNA", at positions 338 to 710 of the family's 1533-position model. The record is from RNAcentral.